RNAcentral lists this ribosomal RNA (897 nucleotides) under Oenococcus oeni. RNAcentral describes it as "bacterial SSU rRNA". It matches the Rfam family "Bacterial small subunit ribosomal RNA", at positions 609 to 1469 of the family's 1533-position model. Lineage: Bacteria; Bacillati; Bacillota; Bacilli; Lactobacillales; Lactobacillaceae. The record is from RNAcentral.
CCAACCUCGGAACUGCAUCGAAAGUGGUGUACUUGAGUGCGAUAUUGAGAUGCAAGUGAACUCCGGUGUAUCGUAAAACUUGCAUGCGCAGAUAUGUGGAAGACCACCAGUGGCGAAAGGUGUCUAACCUUAGAUCUUAACCGACGUUGAGGCUAGGAAAGAAUGGGUAGCAAAACGGGAUUAAGACCCCCCGGUAGUCCGUUCUUUUAACACCAUGGGUGCUAGUUUUUAAGAGGUUUCCGCCUCCUUAGUGAGGUAGCAAAACCCAAGUAAAGCAACCCCCCUUAGGGAGUACGGCUCGCAAGGCUAAACUUUAAAGGCCUUUCAUCGGGGACCCGAACAAGUGGUGGAGCAUUUGGUUUAACCUUAUAAAGAUACGAGAAAACUAUCCUUACCAGGUCUUGACAUACCAAGGAUCGCUUUUGUGCUGAAAGCCGGAACAUUGGAUACAGGUGGAACAUGGUCGUCGUCAGCUUGUGUCGUGAGAUGUUGGGUUAAGUCCCGCAACGAGCGCAACCCUUGUUAUUAGUUGCCAGCAUUUAGUCCCUGGGCACUCUAAUGAGGAAAAUCUGUGAUAAACCGGAGGAAGGUGGGGACGACGUAAGAUCUUCAUGCCCCUUAUGACGUGGGCAACACACGUUCUACAAUGGGAAGUACACCGAGUUACAAACCGGCGACGGUGGUGCAAGCUAAUCUCCUUAAAACAUGGCCGCCUCCCACUUCGGACGAGAGUAAGCAACUUUUCUCCCAGAAGGCGGAAUCGAUAUUAAUCGCGAAUCAGCAUCAUGCGGUGAAUAAUUCCUGGGUCAUGUACACACCGCCCUUCAAAUCAUGGGAGUCCGAAGUACCCAAAGUGGCUUGGCUAACUUUCAGAGGAAGGUGCAUAAGGUAAAAUCG